UUGUGAUUUGUCAAGACAAGUUGGGUAUCAGGAUUUUUGCAUGAAACCUCUCAGUUUUUAAAUACUGGAAACUAUCUUAAAUGUUUUUUAAAAACUCAGUGCAGCCCUGGCAAAAUGUCCCUGCAUCCUGUGUCCUACCCAUGAACCAGAAGUUUGCCACCACUGAUGAACGCGGUCUGACACAGUCCCAGAUGUUUGAGCAGAAAGCAUGACUGAAAAGAUCUCUGGAGAAGCAUUGAGAAAGACUUGCCAUUAGAGAAGGGUUUUGAUGUCUGUUUGUUGUUCAAUGUCAAAGGCAAGCCUAACGCAAAUAAUGUGUUUUUCUUGUUCUUCUCAGUGAAGCAGCUGGGUUGAUCCCUUCAUCUGGUCAUCAGACACAUAGCCCUUCAGUGCUACACCACCUUAAAAAUGAAACCUGAACGACUGUCCUUGGUGUUUAUCUUGAUCUGGGUUGAUUUUCACCAGGCCACCCUGCUAACUGUUCCUCUUUGUCAGCUUAAGCACAGCUCAGCACAUUUCCAUCAAAUCCUGCCCUGUCCAGUGCCUUGCUUGGAACACUGAGUUAAGUAUUAAGAGGAAACAGAUAAAUGUGUUUGACCCAAAAGAACCUCCACGCAAAAGAAUUAAACAGUAGACAUAAUUCAGAUAUUUGAGAACUGAUUCAGGUCCAGCCUCAUGAGACAGUGAACACUUUUGUAAAACUCACUUACCGGAGUUUUGGUUUUUGGUUUGGACAUGUCUUCUUAAGUAUGGCCUUUGUUCCAUACUUAUGAUACUGACUCUUAACUUUUGAGAUUUUGCAGAUGUGUGGAAUGGCGUAGGAAAGUGAAAAGUCUAAUAUAAGAGAAGCACUGUUGUAAGUUAAAUGGAUGUAAUAAAAAGCAUUCUGCAUUUGAGAAUCUAGUAACUUGGUUGUUGCCUGGCUAGGGGCCAGGUUCGCAUAUCUUGUUAGAUAUGUGAGCCUAUUCAAGUUAUUACUUCAGCUUGCAGUGAAAUGAAUCAAUAUUAAAACCACAGAGAUUCCCACAGCAACUCAGCAGCUUAUCUAAUAACUUAACCUCACUCUCCUCAUUUUCUUCUUGAAACUAAUAUCUGCUGGUUCAUAAAACCGUUAUAUGCCUGCCUAUCUUGCAGCCUCCUUCUGAGGAACGUGUCUUGGGAGUUUGAACUGUGGUGCCUUCCCACCUACUGCCAGGGACCCUGUCAUCCUGACCAUAACAGUCUGGCCUGGACCUCUGGUCUUUGUUGGAACGAAAAGGAACUAUAAGGAAACUCAACAAUGAGGCAGCUUGGUGUGAGGCUGCCUAAGAGUAGAGUUCUAUAGUGAAAGGUGUCAUACUGGCCCAAACAUAUCAUCUCUCUUGGAAGCAGUGAAUGAGAAAUUCACCAGGGAGAGAAACAGGGAGUAAAAGAUGUGCUUGUUCUGAGGGAAGCAGAACACCACUUGGGAGAUGGGUUCUCAAUUAUUAGAGUGAAUUGAGCCAUUAUUUCUCUGAGGAGACUGUUUUAUAGUCAUCAUUCAUUCAUUCAUCCAUCAAAAGCUUGACAAAGCGAAUGUUUGUUGACAUCCUAGGCACUGUGGGGGACACAUCUGGGCUCAUUCUCAAAAGAAUUUAAGUGGACCUGGGCAAUGAGAUAUAAAGUUGAAUUUCAAUUUAGAAAUUAAGUGACAGAAAAUGAGUUGUGAUUUUUAGCUUUCCCAGGACCAUCCUCCUUUUGGGUUUUUCUUUUGAGUGUCAAACUUUUUUGAUACUUCCCAAACUAGUUUACUUAAAACCACAAACUGCUCCUCUCCCCUCCCACUUCCCCUGCCCUCCCUUCCCCUGCCCCCCAUCUUUCAUUACACUUAGCACCUUCUAACAUCGUGUAAUGCUUAUUUCUUUGCUGUAUUCACUGAUUGUCUAUCUCUACAAAAACUUCAGCUCCACAAGGACAGAGACUCUUGUCUGCUAACUGACGUAUUUCAAGUACCUAAAAGAGUGUCUAGAAUAUGACAGGACCUAAUGAAGAAGGUAGGACUAUUUUUCUCCUCUUUUUGGCUAAUGGACUCCAGGAAGAUGUACUAUUUCAGUGUCAGUGUCGGUGUCAGCUUUUUCUUUAACAUCAGCUGAUCAGAGGUCCUUUCUCACCACCACCUGGAAGAACUUUUUUCUUCUACUUGGGAAAUUCAGAGAAGGAAAUCUGCAGGAUUUGUGUUAGAAAUAAGACUAAAUAAGAACUAGAAAUACCAUUUGGCGCAGCAAUCCCAUUACUGGGUAUAUACCCAAAGGAUUAUAAAUCAUCCUACUAUAAAGACACAUGCACACGUAUGUUUAUUGUGGCACUAUUCACAAUAGCAAAGACUUGGAACCAACCCAAAUGUCCAUCAAUGAUAGACUGGAUUAAGAAAAUGUUGCACAUAUACACCAAGGAAUGCCAUACAGCCAUAAAAAAGGAUGAGUUCAUGUCCUUUGCAGGGACAUGGAUGAAGCUGGAAACCACCAUUCUCAGCAAACUAUCACAAGGACAGAAAACCAAACACCCGCAUGUUCUCACUCAUAGGUGGGAACUGAACAAUGAGAUCACUUGGACACAGGGCGGGGAACAUCACACACCGGGGCCUGUCAGGGGGUGGGAGACUGGGGGAGGGAUAGCAUUAGGAGUAAUACCUAAUGUUUAAAUGAUGAGUUGAUGGGUGCAGCAAACCCACAUGGCACAUGUAUACCUAUGUGUCAAACCUGCACGCUGUGCACAUGUACCCUAGAACUUAAAGUAUAAUAAUAAUAAUAAUAAAAAGACUAACUAAGUCAGACUUAACUUUGAGAGCCUAUUUUCUAAUUUCUAAUUAUCUUGACAAUCUUUUAAGUUAUGAUUCAUAUAAAAUGAGGACUAAGGAGCAGCCUCUUACCAAAAUUUGCUCAAGUUCACAUGGUUGAUUUGUGGAAGGGAUGGGACUUGACCAAGGUCUGCCUAGCUUUAAAA
RNAcentral lists this long non-coding RNA (2961 nucleotides) under Homo sapiens (human). RNAcentral describes it as "HSALNT0047937". Lineage: Eukaryota; Metazoa; Chordata; Mammalia; Primates; Hominidae. The record is from RNAcentral.